This 473-nucleotide ribosomal RNA is filed under the name uncultured organism. RNAcentral describes it as "partial 16S ribosomal RNA". It matches the Rfam family "Bacterial small subunit ribosomal RNA", at positions 333 to 797 of the family's 1533-position model. The record is from RNAcentral.
ACACUCCUACGGGAGGCAGCAGUGGGGAAUAUUGCACAAUGGGCGCAAGCCUGAUGCAGCCAUGCCGCGUGUGUGAAGAAGGCCUUCGGGUUGUAAAGCACUUUCAGCGGGGAGGAAGGCGAUACGGUUAAUAACCGUGUUGAUUGACGUUACCCGCAGAAGAAGCACCGGCUAACUCCGUGCCAGCAGCCGCGGUAAUACGGAGGGUGCAAGCGUUAAUCGGAAUUACUGGGCGUAAAGCGCACGCAGGCGGUCUGUCAAGUCGGAUGUGAAAUCCCCGGGCUCAACCUGGGAACUGCAUUCGAAACUGGCAGGCUUGAGUCUUGUAGAGGGGGGUAGAAUUCCAGGUGUAGCGGUGAAAUGCGUAGAGAUCUGGAGGAAUACCGGUGGCGAAGGCGGCCCCCUGGACAAAGACUGACGCUCAGGUGCGAAAGCGUGGGGAGCAAACAGGAUUAGAUACCCUAGUAGUCCCA